Molecule: small nuclear RNA, 107 nt
Organism: Ictidomys tridecemlineatus (thirteen-lined ground squirrel)
Lineage: Eukaryota; Metazoa; Chordata; Mammalia; Rodentia; Sciuridae
Source: Ensembl
GUGCUUGCUUUGGCAGCACAUAUACUAAAAUUGGAAGGAUACAGAGAAGAUUAGCAUGGCCCCUGCACAAGGAUGACACGCAAAUUUGGGAAGUGUUUCCUAUUUUU